AGUGAACGCUGGCGGCAGGCCUAACACAUGCAAGUCGAGCGGCAGCGCGUCCGACCACCCUCGGGUGGUCGGAUGGCGGCGAGCGGCGGACGGGUGAGGAAUGCAUCGGAAUCUGCCUCGUUGUGGGGGAUAACGUAGGGAAACUUACGCUAAUACCGCAUACGACCUACGGGUGGAAGUGGGGGACCUUCGGGCCUCACGCGAUGAGAUGAGCCGAUGCCGGAUUAGCUAGUUGGCGGGGUAAAGGCCCACCAAGGCGACGAUCCGUAGCUGGUCUGAGAGGAUGAUCAGCCACACUGGAACUGAGACACGGUCCAGACUCCUACGGGAGGCAGCAGUGGGGAAUAUUGGACAAUGGGGGCAACCCUGAUCCAGCCAUGCCGCGUGUGUGAAGAAGGCCU
This 401-nucleotide ribosomal RNA is filed under the name uncultured bacterium. RNAcentral's name for it is "bacterial SSU rRNA". It matches the Rfam family "Bacterial small subunit ribosomal RNA", at positions 30 to 417 of the family's 1533-position model. The record is from RNAcentral.